GAUGAACGCUAGCGGCAGGCCUAAUACAUGCAAGACGAACGGUAAGUUGAGUAGCAAUACUUAGCCAAGAGUGUCGUACGGGUGCGUAACACGUAUGCAACCUACCCUAUACAGGAGGAUAGCCUAGGGAAACCUGGAUUAACCCUUCAUAGUAUUAUUGGAUGGCAUCAUUUGAUAAUUAAAACUGAGGUGGUAUAGGAUGGGCAUGCGUCUGAUUAGUUAGUUGGCGGGGUAAUGGCCCACCAAGACGAUGAUCAGUAGGGGUUCUGAGAGGAAGAUCCCCCACACUGGCACUGAGAUACGGGCCAGACUCCUACGGGAGCAGCAGUAGGGAAUAUUGGUCAAUGGAUGCAAGUCUGAACCAGCCAUGCCGCGUGCAGGAAGAAGGCCUUCUGGGUUGUAAACUGCUUUUGCCAGGGGAUAAAUUUCCAUGCGUGGAAACUGAAGGUACCUGGUGAAUAAGCCACGGCUAACUACGUGCCAGCAGCCGCGGUAAU
RNAcentral lists this ribosomal RNA (497 nucleotides) under uncultured bacterium. RNAcentral describes it as "bacterial SSU rRNA". It matches the Rfam family "Bacterial small subunit ribosomal RNA", at positions 28 to 524 of the family's 1533-position model. The record is from RNAcentral.